AUAAAAACGGUGACGAGGAGUAGUAAUGUCCGCUGUUGUUCAAAGAGAGCUAACGGUCGGUGGGAGUUAGUCAUCAGCAACAUGAACUCGCCUCUGAGUUGCAAAUAUGAAUUGAGUAAUAUUUGCCGGCUCGACCCACGUUACGGGCUAAUCAAGUGAAUAUAUUUCGGCAUUAUAUGCUGAUAUAUAUUAAAUUGGGUGGUACCGCGGGAGACAAUCCUCUCGUCCCAAAU
Molecule: non-coding RNA, 233 nt
Filed under: Caldibacillus thermoamylovorans
Lineage: Bacteria; Bacillati; Bacillota; Bacilli; Caryophanales; Bacillaceae
Description: Bacillus thermoamylovorans T-box sequence
Rfam family: T-box leader
About the family: Uncharged tRNA acts as the effector for transcription antitermination of genes in the T-box leader family. T-boxes are found upstream of many aminoacyl-tRNA synthetase genes and some amino acid biosynthetic genes usually in Gram-positive bacteria. The anticodon of a specific tRNA base pairs to a specifier sequence within the T-box motif, and the NCCA acceptor tail of the tRNA base pairs to a conserved bulge in the T-box antiterminator hairpin.
Source: RNAcentral